RNAcentral lists this unclassified non-coding RNA (220 nucleotides) under soil metagenome. RNAcentral describes it as "partial contains 5.8S ribosomal RNA, internal transcribed spacer 2, and large subunit ribosomal RNA". The record is from RNAcentral.
AACAAGGCGUACCUGCGGACCUGCGGAAGGAUCAUUACCAGAGUGCCUUCAGGCUCUCCAACCCACUGUGAACAUACCUACGUUCCCCCGGCGGGCCCAGCGCGCGGCGGCUCCGGCCGCCCGCGUCCGCCGAGGGCAUCUCAAACCCGAAUUUAUUCGUGUCUUCUGAGGGGCGAAAGCCCGUAAAACAAAAUGAAUCAAAACUUUCAACAACGGAUCU